UUUAAUUUUAAUUUUAAUAUUAAUUUUGAAAUUAAAUUAAAAUUUUGAAUUUAUAAUUUUAAAGACUAAACUGAAAAAUAUGUAAAAUUUGGAGAUCAAAAUUGAUAUGCAAAAAAAAAGCUAUGUCUAUUAAUUUUAAUUUAUUUUUAACGAUUGAAAUAUAAUUAUAAUAAAAUUAAGAGAUUGAGUAUUUGAUUGUAAAAGUUAAAAACUCAAGUAAAAAACUGUUGAAACGUUGAGGACCAAUAAUGUAAUUAACUCUCUUUCUUUUUUUUUUAAAAAAACUUCAAAUAUCACUCAUGUGGCAUCACACUUUCUAAUUUUUGUACUCUAUGAUUUAAAGUGUAUUAAUUUAGUGUUGUGGUUUCAUUUUUAGUUUUUUAUUAUCAAUUUUAAUAAUUUUUUUCGUUAAAUUAGUAAUAAAGUUAAAACUAAAAAAUAAUAAAGUAAAUAUUCGAUAAACAUAGAUAGGAUAUCUGAAGUUUUUUAUGUAUAAUUUAAUAAAAUAUUUAUAAAAAAUUAAUAAAAAAGAUAAAAAUAAAACUAUAUAAUAUUAACUUGAUAUAUUUUAAACCAGAGGUACUAAAGUGAAAAAGUGGGAAACUAAGGGAGUGGUAUCUGAAGUUUAUUUUAUUUUAUUUUUUCUUUUCACUUUUUCCCCUUCUUAUAAUCUCUCUCUCAUUUCAUGCGGAGAGAGAGAGAGAGAGAGAGAGAAGAGAAGAGAAGGGAAAAGACUCGUAAAACCUUAGCNGAAACUAAGGGAGUGGUAUCUGAAGUUUAUUUUAUUUUAUUUUUUCUUUUCACUUUUUCCCCUUCUUAUAAUCUCUCUCUCAUUUCAUGCGGAGAGAGAGAGAGAGAGAGAGAGAAGAGAAGAGAAGGGAAAAGACUCGUAAAACCUUAGCGGCGAAGAUCGACAGAGGACGGGGAGGGGUCGGCAAUGGCGGAUCACGAGGCGCGGGGCGACGACUUCGAGAAGAAGGCGGAGAAGAAGCUCACGGGGUGGGGCCUCUUCGGAUCCAAGUACGAGGACGCCGCCGAUCUCUU
RNAcentral lists this long non-coding RNA (1044 nucleotides) under Ananas comosus (pineapple). Its description in RNAcentral is "long non-coding RNA (ACOM_LNC028477)". Lineage: Eukaryota; Viridiplantae; Streptophyta; Magnoliopsida; Poales; Bromeliaceae. The record is from RNAcentral.